Molecule: transfer RNA, 69 nt
Filed under: Alces alces (Eurasian elk)
Lineage: Eukaryota; Metazoa; Chordata; Mammalia; Artiodactyla; Cervidae
Also listed under: 1 other name
Description: tRNA-Tyr
Rfam family: tRNA
About the family: Transfer RNA (tRNA) molecules are approximately 80 nucleotides in length. Their secondary structure includes four short double-helical elements and three loops (D, anti-codon, and T loops).
Source: RNAcentral
GGUAAAAUGGCUGAGUGAAGCAUUAGACUGUAAAUCUAAAGACAGAGGUUCAUACUCCUCUUUUUACCA